AGUGACACAGGGAGGUAGUGACAAGGACACUGUCAGAGGUGAAAUUCUUAGACAGUGACACAGGGAGGUAGUGACAAGA
Molecule: ribosomal RNA, 79 nt
Filed under: Theileria lestoquardi
Lineage: Eukaryota; Apicomplexa; Aconoidasida; Piroplasmida; Theileriidae
Description: partial small subunit ribosomal RNA
Source: RNAcentral